CUGUGAAAUUGCAACGUGUGGAUAGUAGAGAUUAUUGACAGGAAAGCAUGGGGAGCAGAGAGAGGGGAAGGAUCGUCAUAGGACCGCGAGGCUGGAAUCGAACUUGGGUCACCGUCAUCCAGGGUGUCUUGGAGGGGAGAGGUGUCCUACCUACAGCAUCUAAACACUGGGGUACCUCAGGGCUCUGUUCUUGGGCCACUUCUCUUCUCCAUCUACACGACAUCUUUAGGACCAGUCAUCCAGAAACAUGGAUUUUCCUACCACUACUAUGCUGAUGACACCCAGCUAUACCUCUCUUUUCACCCUGAUGAUCCCUCGGUUCCAGCUCGCAUUUCAGCCUGCCUGUCAGACAUUUCACACUGGAUGAAAGAUCAUCAUCUUCAGCUUAACCUCAUGAAAACGGAAAUGCUUGAAGUUUCUGCCAACCCGACUCUACACCAUAACUUCUCAAUCCAGAUGGAUGGGGCAACCAUUACUGCAUCCAAAAUGGUAAAAAGCCUUGGAGUAACGAUUGAUGACCAACUAAACUUCUCUGAGUACAUUUCUAGAACUGCUCGAUCUUGCAGAUUCGCACUCUAUAACAUCAGAAAGGUCCGACCCUUCCUAUCUGAACAUACAGCUCAACUCAUUGUUCAAGCUCUUGUUCUCUCCAAACUGGACUAUUGCAACUCUCUACUAGCUGGGCUUCCAGCUAACUCUAUCAAACCUC
Danio aesculapii is the source of this 709-nucleotide long non-coding RNA. RefSeq lists it as uncharacterized. NCBI's taxonomy places the organism in Eukaryota, Metazoa, Chordata, Actinopteri, Cypriniformes, Danionidae. The transcript is spliced from 3 exons. The record is from RefSeq and is a predicted model, not a curated record.